This 403-nucleotide ribosomal RNA is filed under the name uncultured bacterium. RNAcentral describes it as "partial 16S ribosomal RNA". It matches the Rfam family "Bacterial small subunit ribosomal RNA", at positions 28 to 526 of the family's 1533-position model. The record is from RNAcentral.
GACGAACGCUGGCGGCGUGCCUAAUACAUGCAAGUCGAACGCAGUGGGGACGGGUGAGUAACACGUGGGUAACCUCCCAUCAGAGGGGAUAACACUUGGAAAAAGGUGCUAAACCGAUACUGAUGGAUGGACCCGCGGUGCAUUCGCUAGUUGGUUAGGUAACGGCUCAACAAGGCCACGAUCCAUAGCCGGCCUGAGAGGUUGAUCCGCCACACUGGAACUAAGACACGGCCCAGACUCCUACGUGAGGCAGCAGUAGGGAAGAUUCUGCAAUGGGCGAAAGUCUGACCGAGCCACGCCGCGUGAGUGAAGAAGGUUUUCGGAUCGUAAAACUCUGUUGGUAGAGAAGCGGUAUCUAACCAGAAAGCCACGGCUAACUACGUGCCAGCAGCCGCGGUAAUUC